RNAcentral lists this RNase P RNA (411 nucleotides) under Actinoplanes philippinensis. Its description in RNAcentral is "Bacterial RNase P class A". It matches the Rfam family "Bacterial RNase P class A". From Rfam's summary of the family: Ribonuclease P (RNase P) is a ubiquitous endoribonuclease, found in archaea, bacteria and eukarya as well as chloroplasts and mitochondria. Its best characterised activity is the generation of mature 5'-ends of tRNAs by cleaving the 5'-leader elements of precursor-tRNAs. Cellular RNase Ps are ribonucleoproteins. The record is from Rfam by way of RNAcentral. Lineage: Bacteria; Bacillati; Actinomycetota; Actinomycetes; Micromonosporales; Micromonosporaceae.
CGAGUCGGCUGGGCGGCCGCGUCGGCACCCUCACCGGUGCCGCCGAGGAACGUCCGGACUCCGCAGAGCAGGGUGGUUGUUAACGGCAACCCGGGGCGACCCGCGGGAAAGUGCCACAGAAAACAGACCGCCGGGGGCGUACGGCGUACGCGCUCGGUAAGGGUGAAACGGUGAGGUAAGAGCUCACCAGCACCCCGGGUGACCGGGGUGGCUAGGUAAACCCCACCCGGAGCAAGGCCAAGCAAGGCCCGAGCCGCAAGGCGAAGGCCGGCGCAGGCGUUCGAGGGCUGCUCGCCCGAGCCUGCGGGUAGGCUGCUCGAGCCUGCCGGCAACGGCAGGCCUAGAUGGAUGGCCGCCACCGGCGACCCAGGUCACCGGCCACAGAAUCCGGCGUACAGGCCGACUCGUCCG